GAACUAUAAACUGACUACACAGCUCCCUGGCCCGGGAAGGCUAUGAAACAGGCAACAUGGACAAUUUAAAGGUGUACAACAUCCGAGGUUCCAUUUCACCCUCAGGCAGCACGGAGUGGACAAGAGAUGGGGUCUCACUUUGUCACCCAGGCUGGGCUCAAACUCUUGGCUUCAAGCGAUCUUCUCGCCUUGGUCUCCCAAAGUGCUGGGAUUACAGGCUUGAACUACUGUACUCGACUGACUUUUCCUAUUUCUAAUGUCAGCAUGAAGAACACAAGAAGUCAGCUUCAAAGGCAUCCAGCAAUAUCAUCUAUUCUCCACUUUGCUAAAUCUUACCUUUGGCAGAGCCUUCAUGAACAAGAUUGGUACCCAUAUAAAAGAAGCCCGAGAGAGCUAUCUUGACCCUCCUACCAUGUGAAGACACAACAAGGUACCGUCUAUGAACCAGGAAAUGGGCCCUCACCAGACACCUAAUCUGCUGGUGCCUUGAUCUUGGACUUCCCAGCUUCUAGAACUGUGGGAAUUAAAUUUCUAUUGUUUAUAAGCUACCCAGUUUACACUACUUUGUUCUAUCAGCCCAAAAAGCACACCCUGUUUCAAGAUUCUGCAUUCAUUUACUCAUUCAUACAUUCAACCAUAUUUUGUUGGGCACCAAUGAUGCCAGGCACUACUCUAGGUGCUCAGGAUACAAUAAUUAAUAAGGCAGACAAUGCCCUGGCUUCAUGGAGAUAAAUGUGUUGAUGAACAGGAAGUAGAUAGAGUGGUCAGAGAAGGCUGGUGGAGAGCACAGUUGACCAGAGAUCUGAUGGAAGUGAGAAAGCAAACUAUGGGAAUAUCUGGAAAAAGAGCAUUCCAGGCAGAGGAAUGAGCAAGUGGCAAAGAUCCUCAAAUGCCUAUACUUCCAUGGAAGAAGGCCAGUGAGUGAGGAAAAGAGAGGUAGCAAAGGGGAUCAGAGAGGAUACAGGGAUCCAGAUCUCAAAGGGACUUGUAGGUAAUGGCCACCACUUUGGACUUCAUGUUUUCGGAGUGACGGAAAGUCCCUACAGCCUUUCCCAGCCCCUAGCUAAGCCUCUAUUGAUUACUUCUCCUUCUUGUGCUCUUAUCACCUGUACUUUUAUUUACCAGUUAGUCUAUAUUCCAUGGAUUUCUAUUCAUCUCUUGUGUAUCAAUUCUAUGUCCUCAACUAUGUCUCAACGGCAAGAAUCAGUCAUAUUCUCUUCUGUAUUCCCAGGGCCUGGCACCUAACAGAUGCUCAAUAAAUCUUUCCAGAAGGUGAUAAUGAUGAUGUAAUCUCUUAGAAUCUUUUCUAGCUGUUAAGAUCCAUGAUGCCUUUGAACUCUCUCAACAAACUAGUUUGCACAAUGACUCAGAGGACUGACAUCUUUCUAGAUAUUUUGAGAUUAUAUUCAUGCCACUUUUAGAGUCUCCAUCCAUCAAAUGACUAGAAUGAAUUACAUCAGAGUUUUGUCUAAAUGAAGGCUGUGCCACUUGGAAUGGGAUUCCCUUACAUGGAACUACCUACUAAUAUUUGCACUUUAAGCCACCUGAACCUCAGGAGAGUAAUAAAUUGCUAUUAAAUAAAUGCU
This 1586-nucleotide long non-coding RNA is filed under the name Homo sapiens (human). RNAcentral's name for it is "non-protein coding lnc-UBE2N-3:5". The record is from RNAcentral. Lineage: Eukaryota; Metazoa; Chordata; Mammalia; Primates; Hominidae.